UACGUAGGGGGCGAGCGUUGUCCGGAAUUACUGGGCGUAAAGGGCGUGUAGGCGGCCCUUCAAGUCGGCUGUGAAAGUCCCCGGCUCAACCGGGGGAUUGCAGUCGAAACUGGGGGGCUUGAGUGCAGGAGAGGAGGGUGGAAUUCCCGGUGGAGCGGUGAUAUGCGUAGAUAUCGGGAGGAACACCGGUGGCGAAGGCGACCUUCUGGCCUGUUACUGACGCUGAGGCGCGAAAGCCGGGGGAGCAAACAGGAUUAGAUACCCUGGUAGUCCCGGCCGUAAACGCUGGGUACUAGGUGUAGGGGGCUUUGAUGCCUUCUGUGCCGUAGUUAACGCAUUAAGUACCCCGCCUGGGGAGUACGAUCGCAAGGUUGAA
RNAcentral lists this ribosomal RNA (376 nucleotides) under uncultured bacterium. Its description in RNAcentral is "bacterial SSU rRNA". It matches the Rfam family "Bacterial small subunit ribosomal RNA", at positions 524 to 898 of the family's 1533-position model. The record is from RNAcentral.